Molecule: ribosomal RNA, 370 nt
Filed under: uncultured organism
Description: bacterial SSU rRNA
Rfam family: Bacterial small subunit ribosomal RNA
Source: RNAcentral
CGUAGGGUGCGAGCGUUAAUCGGAAUUACUGGGCGUAAAGCGUGCGCAGGCGGUUUUGUAAGACAGAUGUGAAAUCCCCGGGCUCAACCUGGGACCUGCAUUUGUGACUGCAAGGCUAGAGUACGGUAGAGGGGGAUGGAAUUCCGCGUGUAGCAGUGAAAUGCGUAGAUAUGCGGAGGAACACCGAUGGCGAAGGCAAUCCCCUGGACCUGUACUGACGCUCAUGCACGGAAGCGUGGGGAGCAAACAGGAUUAGAUACCCUGGUAGUCCACGCCCUAAACGAUGUCAACUGGUUGUUGGGUCUUUACUGACUCAGUAACGAAGCUAACGCGUGAAGUUGACCGCCUGGGGAGUACGGCCGCAAGGUUG